This 248-nucleotide ribosomal RNA is filed under the name uncultured Actinomycetales bacterium. Its description in RNAcentral is "partial 16S ribosomal RNA". It matches the Rfam family "Bacterial small subunit ribosomal RNA", at positions 82 to 334 of the family's 1533-position model. Lineage: Bacteria; Bacillati; Actinomycetota; Actinomycetes; Actinomycetales. The record is from RNAcentral.
CUGGGGUACUCGAGUGGCGAACGGGUGAGCAACACGUGGGUGAUCUGCCCUGCACUUCGGGAUAAGCCUGGGAAACUGGGUCUAAUACCGGAUAGGACCAUCGUUUAGUGUCGGUGGUGGAAAGUUUUUCGGUGUGGGGUGAGCUCGCGGCCUAUCAGCUUGUUGGUGGGGUAAUGGCCUACCAAGGCGUCAACGGGUAGCCGGCCUGAGAGGGUGUACGGCCACAUUGGGACUGAGAUACGGCCCAG